UCAGAGAUUAUUUUGAUCUUGAAAAUCCCAGUCGUACCAGGGCAUUUUAAUCUUGAAGAUGCUGACUUUCACAGAUGCUUUUCGAAGUUUCACGGACCUAAGUGUUGUCGAUGUAUGUGACCUUAAGCGGUGAAAGGUGGCCAGAGGUGAGCUCCACGCUGGUGUGCUGAUGAAGAUUCCAGAUGCGGAGACGACACAGCCCUCCCCAGGCCUGGUGACAAAUGAUCAUGACUUCUGCGUCUCGUUUUUCACCACACAGGUUCUGCCACAUGGUGCAGGCCACCAGCCCAGCUUCUAGUCUUUGAUGUCACGGAGAGGACCAUUCCAGGCACUGUGGCCCCCGAAGCUCCCCAGUGAAGACUCUUGAAUACCGGCUUCUGACCUAACCUCAGUUCGAUGCUGUUAGACGGCACCCUGGCUGGGGCACCAGCUCUGGGGCUCUGCUUAGAGUGGAAGCACACAGCCUCAUGAACUAGGUGCACGACUCACCUCUAGCAGAACAAGAGACAAAUGAACCUGUGAGGGGGUGUUCUGAUUUGACAUCUGAUGCUUGGAACUUAGUUAUUCUGUUCAACGUAUGUAUUAUGAAACCCUUUCUUGGUGUUUCUGAAGCAUUGCUGACACUCAGUUAAGUAGACCCUGCUUUUGUAAAGGAACGAGAACACUAUUAAAUCAGCCCCAUUCUCACUGAUUCCCGAGAAGUCCUAGGCCCUUACUGAGUCUCCCUCUUUUUUUUUUAUAAUGGCAGUACAGCUAGUUACAUAGAUCUGAUACAAAUCUGUCCAACUAUUUACCAGAACACAGCUGAAUUAUGUGACUAAGACCAUACAAGGACUGUAAUAUUUCAGAAGAAUUCUUAUUUACUCAGGAAUGACAUGCUGCUUUAAGAAAACAGUGUAAACUCAGGUUAACCCCGCGUAGGGUCUUGGCCUUACAGACAGUGAGGCAGGCCACCUCCUGGUAAGACAAGAAUCUUUGUAAAUUUUAGGGACUUUGAGAAGAGAGGAAUUCAUUAGAUUUAUUGGUACUGUGAGGACCAAUAAAAUUCUCCAGUAGAGCUUUUUUAGACUUGAUUUCCUAAUCUCUGGAUAGCAAAUAAUAGCGGCUUUAAAAAUAAAAUUCAAUCUCCUUAGAAAAACUUCCAAA
Molecule: long non-coding RNA, 1146 nt
Organism: Ictidomys tridecemlineatus (thirteen-lined ground squirrel)
Lineage: Eukaryota; Metazoa; Chordata; Mammalia; Rodentia; Sciuridae
Source: RefSeq, a predicted model, not a curated record